AGGCAGCAGUGGGGAAUUUUGGACAAUGGACGCAAGUCUGAUCCAGCGACGCCGCGUGCGGGAAGAAGGCCUUCGGGUUGUAAAGUCCUUUUGUCAGGGAAGAAAUCCNUUGGGAUAAUACCUCGGGGGGAUGACGGUACCUGAAGAAUAAGCACCGGCUAACUACGUGCCAGCAG
This 176-nucleotide ribosomal RNA is filed under the name uncultured bacterium. RNAcentral describes it as "partial 16S ribosomal RNA". It matches the Rfam family "Bacterial small subunit ribosomal RNA", at positions 346 to 514 of the family's 1533-position model. The record is from RNAcentral.